GUGGGGAAUUUUGGGCAAUGGGCGCAAGCCUGACCCAGCGACGCCGCGUGGAGGAUGAAGGCCUUCGGGUUGUAAACUCCUGUCAGGUGGGAAGAAAGCUUCCAUGGCGAACAACCAUGGAGGUCUGACGGUACCGCCAAAGGAAGCCCCGGCUAACUCCGUGCCAGCAGCCGCGGUAAUACGGAGGGGGCAAGCGUUAUUCGGAAUUACUGGGCGUAAAGCGCACGUAGGCGGCCAUGCAAGUCGAAGGUGAAAGCCCUCGGCUCAACCGAGGAACUGCCUUUGAAACUGCGUGGCUUGAGUCCGGGAGGGGGGAGCGGAAUUCCCAGUGUAGCGGUGAAAUGCGUAGAUACUGGGAGGAACACCGGUGGCGAAGGCGGCUCCCUGGACCGGAACUGACGCUGAGGUGCGAAAGCGUGGGUAGCAAACAGGAUUAGAUACCCUGGUAGUCC
RNAcentral lists this ribosomal RNA (452 nucleotides) under uncultured bacterium. Its description in RNAcentral is "bacterial SSU rRNA". It matches the Rfam family "Bacterial small subunit ribosomal RNA", at positions 354 to 796 of the family's 1533-position model. The record is from RNAcentral.